This 312-nucleotide ribosomal RNA is filed under the name Triticum aestivum (bread wheat). RNAcentral's name for it is "partial small subunit ribosomal RNA". The record is from RNAcentral. Lineage: Eukaryota; Viridiplantae; Streptophyta; Magnoliopsida; Poales; Poaceae.
AUGGGCACAUGCACAUAUCUUCUAGACAAAGAGCAUCUUCCCCUGGGGCCAGAAUUUGAGGACAAUGAGAUUGUCAUCGAUCCAUCACAUCCAACAUAUGUAGAGGCUCAGGAGAAGAGAGAGAAAGCAGAGGCAGAGAAGGUAGCACAAUCUUCCAAAGUUCCAGAUGCCUCAACUGUACAUCUCAAGACCAAGCAAGAUCAUCUUAGCUAUCUACUUGAGGCCACGUUGAGGAUUGAGAAAGGACUAGCCACCCUGACUCAAAACCAAGAAGUCUUGAGAGGAUCAUCAAAACAAAAUUUAAUGAUCUAG